This 253-nucleotide ribosomal RNA is filed under the name uncultured bacterium. Its description in RNAcentral is "partial 16S ribosomal RNA". It matches the Rfam family "Bacterial small subunit ribosomal RNA", at positions 524 to 776 of the family's 1533-position model. The record is from RNAcentral.
UACGUAGGGUGCGAGCGUUAAUCGGAAUUACUGGGCGUAAAGUGUGCGCAGGCGGCUCCGCAAGUCGAGUGUGAAAUCCCCGAGCUUAACUUGGGAAUUGCGCUCGAAACUACGGAGCUGGAGUGUGGCAGAGGAAGGUGGAAUUCCACGUGUAGCGGUGAAAUGCGUAGAUAUCAGGAGGAACACCAAUAGCGAAGGCAGCUCGCUGGGACGUUACUGACACUGAGGCGCGAAAGCGUGGGGAGCGAACAGG